GUGCCAGCAGCCGCGGUAAUACCCGCGCCCCUAGUGGUGGUCGAUAUUAUUGAGCCUAAAACGUCCGUAGCCGGUCUUCUAAAUCCUUGGGUAAAUCGGACAGCUUAACUGUCCGAAUUCCGGGGAGACUGGGAGACUUGGGACCGGGAGAGGUCAGAGGUACUUCUGGGGUAGGGGUAAAAUCCUGUAAUCCUGGAAGGACCACCGGUGGCGAAGGCGUCUGACUAGAACGGAUCCGACGGUGAGGGACGAAGCCCUGGGGCGCAAACGGGAUUAGAUACCCCGGUAGUCCAGGGUGUAAACGCUGCGGGCUUGGUGUUGGGGGUCCUUAGUGGGCGCCCAGUGCCGGAGAGAAGUUGUUAAGCCUGCUGCUUGGGGAGUAUGUCCGCAAGGAUGAA
Molecule: ribosomal RNA, 398 nt
Filed under: uncultured bacterium
Lineage: Bacteria
Description: bacterial SSU rRNA
Rfam family: Archaeal small subunit ribosomal RNA
Source: RNAcentral